Molecule: ribosomal RNA, 916 nt
Filed under: Bacillus sp. (in: firmicutes)
Lineage: Bacteria; Bacillati; Bacillota; Bacilli; Caryophanales; Bacillaceae
Description: bacterial SSU rRNA
Rfam family: Bacterial small subunit ribosomal RNA
Source: RNAcentral
CUAUACAUGCAGUCGAGCGGACAGAUGGGAGCUUGCUCCCUGAUGUUAGCGGCGGACGGGUGAGUAACACGUGGGUAACCUGCCUGUAAGACUGGGAUAACUCCGGGAAACCGGGGCUAAUACCGGAUGGUUGUUUGAACCGCAUGGUUCAAACAUAAAAGGUGGCUUCGGCUACCACUUACAGAUGGACCCGCGGCGCAUUAGCUAGUUGGUGAGGUAACGGCUCACCAAGGCAACGAUGCGUAGCCGACCUGAGAGGGUGAUCGGCCACACUGGGACUGAGACACGGCCCAGACUCCUACGGGAGGCAGCAGUAGGGAAUCUUCCGCAAUGGACGAAAGUCUGACGGAGCAACGCCGCGUGAGUGAUGAAGGUUUUCGGAUCGUAAAGCUCUGUUGUUAGGGAAGAACAAGUACCGUUCGAAUAGGGCGGUACCUUGACGGUACCUAACCAGAAAGCCACGGCUAACUACGUGCCAGCAGCCGCGGUAAUACGUAGGUGGCAAGCGUUGUCCGGAAUUAUUGGGCGUAAAGGGCUCGCAGGCGGUUUCUUAAGUCUGAUGUGAAAGCCCCCGGCUCAACCGGGGAGGGUCAUUGGAAACUGGGGAACUUGAGUGCAGAAGAGGAGAGUGGAAUUCCACGUGUAGCGGUGAAAUGCGUAGAGAUGUGGAGGAACACCAGUGGCGAAGGCGACUCUCUGGUCUGUAACUGACGCUGAGGAGCGAAAGCGUGGGGAGCGAACAGGAUUAGAUACCCUGGUAGUCCACGCCGUAAACGAUGAGUGCUAAGUGUUAGGGGGUUUCCGCCCCUUAGUGCUGCAGCUAACGCAUUAAGCACUCCGCCUGGGGAGUACGGUCGCAAGACUGAAACUCAAAGGAAUUGACGGGGGCCCGCACAAGCGGUGGAGCAUGUGGUUU